GAUGAACGCUGGCGGCGUGCCUAAUACAUGCAAGUCGAGCGAACAGAUGAGAAGCUUGCUUCUCUGAUGUUAGCGGCGGACGGGUGAGUAACACGUGGGUAACCUACCUAUAAGACUGGGAUAACUCCGGGAGACCGGGGCUAAUACCGGAUAAUAUUUUGAACCGCAUGGUUCAAUAGUGAAAGACGGUUUCGGCUGUCACUUAUAGAUGGACCCGCGCCGUAUUAGCUAGUUGGUAAGGUAACGGCUUACCAAGGCGACGAUACGUAGCCGACAUGAGAGGGUGAUCGGCCACACUGGAACUGAGACACGGUCCAGACUCCUACGGGAGGCAGCAGUAGGGAAUCUUCCGCAAUGGGCGAAAGCCUGACGGAGCAACGCCGCGUGAGUGAUGAAGGUCUUCGGAUCGUAAAACUCUGUUGUUAGGGAAGGACAAAUUUGUUAGUAACUGAACAAGUCUUGACGGUACCUAACCAGAAAGCCACGGCUAACUACGUGCCAGCAGCCGCAGUAA
RNAcentral lists this ribosomal RNA (514 nucleotides) under uncultured bacterium. RNAcentral's name for it is "partial 16S ribosomal RNA". It matches the Rfam family "Bacterial small subunit ribosomal RNA", at positions 28 to 523 of the family's 1533-position model. The record is from RNAcentral.